Pyrus x bretschneideri (Chinese white pear) is the source of this 1308-nucleotide long non-coding RNA. RefSeq lists it as uncharacterized. The transcript is spliced from 3 exons. The record is from RefSeq and is a predicted model, not a curated record. NCBI's taxonomy places the organism in Eukaryota, Viridiplantae, Streptophyta, Magnoliopsida, Rosales, Rosaceae.
GAAUGGGCUGAGAGAGAUGUGGGAUGAUUUGUGGAGGGAUUUCAGGGAUUUGCAUAGAGAGGGAGAUGAGACAGAGAGAGGGAUUUCAGCGAUUUGCCAAUCCUUCCCCUUCACACAGAAGCUCUGCAAAGCAGUAGUCUUCCUUUCUUUUCUAACCCAGCGCCGUUUCAUUUCUUCUUCGUUCUGGAGCCCUCCCAUAUUUCUACAGCUCCUCUCGAAGCCAAAACCAAACCCAGCUCCAAUCCUUCUUAGGCCACCUCCAACUACUGUUCUCUCAUCUUCUCUAAAGCAUCCAUCAGAACUGAAAGCAUCCUCCAUCUUGACUCUCAGAAUAGCAAUCCAACAGACCUCGGACAUGCAGCAAUCAAAUCGCAGGUCUCCGACAUCCACGAAGGUAAAACGAUGGAAAAAAGAAAAGAAACGGAGAAACAAGGAAGAACAGAAACGCAUAUAACAACAGUGAGACCAAAUGGAAGAUCUAACGGGGGAAAAAAAAACAGCAGCGGAGAAACCGAUGCCUAUAGAUUCCAAAGGAAAAGGUACGAUUGUUUACACUGAAAUGUAGUUUUCAUAUUUCUCGUCUUUAUGUUUAUAGUGAUUGUUUAAGGAAUUCAAACUGUACUCAGUUAGUGUGUGUAUUUUUGGAGCUUAAGAUAAAGUUUUAGGCUUUUUUUUUUUCAAGUUGAGGCUAAAUGGGCUUACAGUAUAGUUGACUUCCUACAAUGUGGAGAUGAAAAUUAACAAAGUCAAAGAAGACGGCUAUGGCGUUCAAUUUCAAAAGCUGUAUAGUUCAUUUAGAGGGAUCAAGAAUUACAUUUUUUUAUUGAUGGAGUGACAAGCAUGACCCAACCAAAAUGAAAGGAAUGCCCAGAGAAAAGUCAUUGAAGAAAUGAGUGAAAGAGCCAAAGCAUCAUUUGAAAGUGAGGUUUUACAAUUUCUACCAUGUACGUACACCAGAUACUUCUGACGUUUCACAUAAGUUGGAGUUGCAAACGUUGAGUCUUCAGAGCGAGUAAGUCUACAGGGAUACAUUUUGUUUUGAUCUUAUCUUGUGUGAUUGCAUUUGAUGUUGGGGUUAGAUGUGGAACAUAUUAAAAUAAUCACCGUUGAUUCAUAAUCUGCAGAUUUCAUUCUACGUGUAUGUAAAUAGAGUUCAUAUAAUCAAACAUGUUUGACUAUAAUUUAGAUACAACAACUUUCAUUCUACAUGUUUGAAUAUAUGAACUCCAAAAACUUUGUUUACAAACUUGUUUGAUUAUAUUCAGGUUAGAUGGGAACUAUUAUUAGCACUCCAAAAAUCUCAUUUGA